RNAcentral lists this unclassified non-coding RNA (260 nucleotides) under uncultured fungus. RNAcentral describes it as "partial contains 5.8S ribosomal RNA, internal transcribed spacer 2, and large subunit ribosomal RNA". The stretch from base 1 to 52 matches the Rfam family "5.8S ribosomal RNA", at positions 103 to 154 of the family's 154-position model. Lineage: Eukaryota; Fungi. The record is from RNAcentral.
AACGCACAUUGCGCCCCUUGGUAUUCCGAGGGGCAUGCCUGUCCGAGCGUCAGUUCAACAAUCAAGCAACGCUUGGUGUUGGGCCCGCGGCCACCCCCCAGCGGGGUGGCCCGCCCGAAACGCAUCGGCGAGGAGACCGACCCCCGGCGUCUUGAGAAUCUCACGGUUCGCACGUCGGGAGCACCGGUGGCCUCCGCCGCAACCAACGAAUCUUUUCAAUGGUUGACCUCGGAUCAGGUAGGGAUACCCGCUGAACUUAA